UACGGAGGGUGCAAGCGUUAUCCGGAUUCACUGGGCUUAAAGGGUGUGUAGGCGGGUAUUUAAGUCAGAGGUGAAAUCUCCAGGCUCAACCUGGAAACUGCCAUUGAUACUAUUUAUCUUGAAUAUCGUUGAGGUUGGCGGAAUAUAUCAUGUAGCGGUGAAAUGCAUAGAUAUGAUAUAGAACACCGAUUGCGAAGGCAGCUAACUAAGCGAUUAUUGACGCUGAGGCACGAAAGCGUGGGGAGCAAACAGG
Molecule: ribosomal RNA, 253 nt
Filed under: uncultured bacterium
Lineage: Bacteria
Description: partial 16S ribosomal RNA
Rfam family: Bacterial small subunit ribosomal RNA
Source: RNAcentral